UCCGUGUGGAGCUUCCCCUCUGAAAUAGC
Molecule: small RNA, 29 nt
Filed under: Bombyx mori (domestic silkworm)
Lineage: Eukaryota; Metazoa; Arthropoda; Insecta; Lepidoptera; Bombycidae
Description: piRNA piR-bmo-1765012
Source: RNAcentral